Molecule: long non-coding RNA, 1504 nt
Filed under: Lactuca sativa (garden lettuce)
Lineage: Eukaryota; Viridiplantae; Streptophyta; Magnoliopsida; Asterales; Asteraceae
Description: long non-coding RNA (LSAT_LNC002447)
Source: RNAcentral
CACAAUAAACACACACCCUCACAUAUAUCAUUGAUGCAGGUUUAUCACCACCCCCCUCCCAUCUUUUUCUUCCUCCUCACCUUUACCUGCAACUGAAACCUCUCACAUAUACAUCCUAAAAAUCAAAUCUCUCACAAACAAAACCCGCUAAUAGAGGUGUUGGUUCUAGGAGUCAAGACAUCUGAUGACAUCGCUCAGCCACCGCUUCAUCUUCUCCGACAUUGGUUUAAAUAUUCUUAUGGGUUUUCAGUUUACAUCAUCUCAUCUUCUGGGUUUUUGAUUUCCACAAAGAGGGGUAAGAUCGGCAAGAAAAAAACACCUUUAAUUGCAAGAAUGAAGAUCAAAUAAGGGUGGGAUGAAAUUGUAGUCGCUUCUCCAUCAGCCUCAUCUUUGAAGACACAAUUGAUGCAUCUAAAUCACUUACAAUUUUCCCUUAUUUUAGUUCCAACUCCUUAAUUUUGUAUUCCUAUUUCUAUACAUCUUCAUCUAUUGCUGAAUUGGAUGUCUUAGGAAAGAAAAUUGGAAUCGUAUGCUUCUAAAUAGAUCAGAAAAAGAAGAAGGAAAACAAUGCAAUCCAGGUGCUCGAUGAAACACCUGAAAGAAAAGUAUCUUCAGAUAUUUCAAUAUAUGAAAGAAAAGUACCUUUACUGAGGUUCUGGAAAUGAAAUACUUCUAAAAUACAAACACAUAUCAGAAGAGAAUAGUGAAGGAAUCGGGAAUGAAUUCAUUGUUCAGCCAAGAAGGAAUAUGGAGUAUGUUGCAGUCAUCAAAGAUAGAUCAGAAGAAGGAAUCUGGAGUAUGCUGAGAGGAAUACGAUUGGUUUUUGAAGUUGGAAAACUAAUUGAAGAAUUUGGUUUUUUGGGGACAACUUAUGUGUAUAAUCAAGUAGCAAAAUGGUAAAAAAUCUGGGUUUUUUCCUCGAUUUGUAGAUGAUAGAUGAAGAAGAAGAAGAAAAAGAAGAGAGAGAGAGAGUAUGGUGGGGUGGUUGGUAGCAAAUUGUUUUAGUUUUUUGUUUUUUUUUAAAAUCAAAAUAGUAUUAAAAUAAUUAUAAAAAAGAAAAUAAAAGAAAAUAACCGUCUUUUUAAGUUUUUUUGGACCAAAAUCAAAAAAAAAAAAUUCUUGAAUUUGGACCUUCCAUACAAGUCGAAAACUUUUUGGACCCUAUCCAAAGGUUUUUGAAUACCACAGGGACCAAAUUUACAGUUUUGUCUAAAUUUUUUUUAUAGACCCAUGUAGUAUACGGGUCUCACACCUAGUUUAAUAAUAUUCAUCAAUUUUAACGGUAAAAGAGUUGGUAGAAGAGUUAGGCCGAAGAAAAAACAAAAAAUAGGUAAAGGGUUGUUAUUUAAAUACAUCAAGCCAGACUUUUGGUCUUAUAUAUAUAAUUGUUCAAAUCAAAUAAUUCACUCAUAUAGUAGAAUGAUUAAUUUAUGAGAAUUACCAAAUACCAUCAUUUUGUUGUAAUAAAUACAUAUGCUUAGAACUUAGAAAAACAGGAACGAAG